Molecule: ribosomal RNA, 1284 nt
Filed under: Staphylococcus aureus
Lineage: Bacteria; Bacillati; Bacillota; Bacilli; Caryophanales; Staphylococcaceae
Description: partial 23S ribosomal RNA
Rfam family: Bacterial large subunit ribosomal RNA
Source: RNAcentral
CACACUGCCGAGAAAAGCCUCUAGAUAGAAAAUAGGUGCCCGUACCGCAAACCGACACAGGUAGUCAAGAUGAGAAUUCUAAGGUGAGCGAGCGAACUCUCGUUAAGGAACUCGGCAAAAUGACCCCGUAACUUCGGGAGAAGGGGUGCUCUUUAGGGUUAACGCCCAGAAGAGCCGCAGUGAAUAGGCCCAAGCGACUGUUUAUCAAAAACACAGGUCUCUGCUAAACCGUAAGGUGAUGUAUAGGGGCUGACGCCUGCCCGGUGCUGGAAGGUUAAGAGGAGUGGUUAGCUUCUGCGAAGCUACGAAUCGAAGCCCCAGUAAACGGCGGCCGUAACUAUAACGGUCCUAAGGUAGCGAAAUUCCUUGUCGGGUAAGUUCCGACCCGCACGAAAGGCGUAACGAUUUGGGCACUGUCUCAACGAGAGACUCGGUGAAAUCAUAGUACCUGUGAAGAUGCAGGUUACCCGCGACAGGACGGAAAGACCCCGUGGAGCUUUACUGUAGCCUGAUAUUGAAAUUCGGCACAGCUUGUACAGGAUAGGUAGGAGCCUUUGAAACGUGAGCGCUAGCUUACGUGGAGGCGCUGGUGGGAUACUACCCUAGCUGUGUUGGCUUUCUAACCCGCACCACUUAUCGUGGUGGGAGACAGUGUCAGGCGGGCAGUUUGACUGGGGCGGUCGCCUCCUAAAAGGUAACGGAGGCGCUCAAAGGUUCCCUCAGAAUGGUUGGAAAUCAUUCAUAGAGUGUAAAGGCAUAAGGGAGCUUGACUGCGAGACCUACAAGUCGAGCAGGGUCGAAAGACGGACUUAGUGAUCCGGUGGUUCCGCAUGGAAGGGCCAUCGCUCAACGGAUAAAAGCUACCCCGGGGAUAACAGGCUUAUCUCCCCCAAGAGUUCACAUCGACGGGGAGGUUUGGCACCUCGAUGUCGGCUCAUCGCAUCCUGGGGCUGUAGUCGGUCCCAAGGGUUGGGCUGUUCGCCCAUUAAAGCGGUACGCGAGCUGGGUUCAGAACGUCGUGAGACAGUUCGGUCCCUAUCCGUCGUGGGCGUAGGAAAUUUGAGAGGAGCUGUCCUUAGUACGAGAGGACCGGGAUGGACAUACCUCUGGUGUACCAGUUGUCGUGCCAACGGCAUAGCUGGGUAGCUAUGUGUGGACGGGAUAAGUGCUGAAAGCAUCUAAGCAUGAAGCCCCCCUCAAGAUGAGAUUUCCCAACUUCGGUUAUAAGAUCCCUCAAAGAUGAUGAGGUUAAUAGGUUCGAGGUGGAAGCAUGGUGACAUGUGG